RNAcentral lists this long non-coding RNA (1635 nucleotides) under Citrus maxima (pomelo). RNAcentral describes it as "long non-coding RNA (CMAX_LNC000085)". Lineage: Eukaryota; Viridiplantae; Streptophyta; Magnoliopsida; Sapindales; Rutaceae. The record is from RNAcentral.
UAACUCUUGAGUCCAGAUUUUGACAAAAUCUUGAUGUCCAUUUGCAGGAAUACUGUGCAGAAAUUUUUUGUGCUUCUGUAAUGUUGAGUAUGAACUACAAAUUAGUUAUAUAGUCAAGUGAGACAAGUCGGUUGAAGACUUGUCAAUACUAUGACAUGUCGGUUUGAGUCCUUGAGACGGCUAUACGACAAAUAUAUUUUGUCAUCUGUGUGUGCAAGGAAGACAUGUGACUUCGCAUGUGAUUCACUUAAACGAGAUGACAGCUUGAGCUGCCGUUUCAUCACUUAGAAUAAACAAGAUGAAGACACGUGGCCAGGAGAAGUCAGUUAAGGCUGUUAACCAGCGCGGGAAGCUGCUGGACUUUGUCACUGAACACAGGGGAAGCAUGCUGGUGAUUGGGAGACCUUUUCUGAUCGAGCAUUGCUUAUAUAUAUUGUUGAUGCGAGAUUCCGGUUCUCCUCGUUCCACGACCAGGAUCUCUGCUCGAUCAACUUCACCACGACCAGGAGGUCUCCUAGUAAUGCUUCUUCUCCAGAUGUCCCUGCACAAACAGACAAGUCAGAGUACGCCGGUUGUUCCCCCGGCGCAAACCCUCCGACGCUCAAGUCAGAUAUGAAGGUUCAGGGAACGCUUGCCACAGGUCUUAUGGCCUUUUCGUGGUUUUUCCUUCUAUCUCAAAAAUGCCAACCCUUUUACCUUCGUUGGCUGCCUUUUUAUAGGCUUCCUCUGAAUCUCAGUCUUCCGCUCUUUUCGAGACGGUAUGGGACUCCAACUGCGGCGUUAUGGGCAAACGUGGGAUCUAGCGUGUUACGCCACGGUUCAGGGGAAAGCGUGGCUGUCAUGGUUCUGUGAGAUCUUGCGUGUUACGCCAAGGUUCUGGGGAAAGCGUGGCUGUCACGGUUCUGUGAGAUCUUGCGUGUUACGCCAAGGUUCUGGGGAAAGCGUGGCUGUCAUGCCUAGAUUCUCGUGCUGGAGAGCACGUCUUGCCAACUGUCGUCGACCGGGUCUGCUCGCCUCUUGACCUCUAGCCGGAAUGGCCUUUUGCCUUUUAUAGGAAAUUGGCCUCGCGAAUGACAACAUCGUGGACGAGCAGGAUAAUUCUGCUCUUGUUCUUCCGCGCACCAGGCUUUUACGGAACACACCGGUUCGCAGAACUCCGCCAUCAGAUAUCUGCUCGUCAUUCCUGGUCUCAUCGACGUAUUUAUCCCAAACAGUAUCUCUCCCAAACAUAUAUAGCUCGGUACCUUGGAAUACUGAUAUGUGUGUUAGUUGUAAUCUUCUCUAAAGAACUUGUACUCUGUAGACACUCAUUCAAUAAGCUUGGAUUCACCUUUUUCACAGUGGACGUGGGCUUCCAUAGCCGAACCACUAUAAGUUUCCUCUGUGUUGUUCUUUCUGUUCUUUGAUUCUUUCUUUGAUUUGCUUUGGUUGUUAAGAUUGUUUAAGCGUUCAUUCAACUGAGUACUAAUCAUCUACAAUUUUAGAUACAAGAACCUUUCUUGAGUGGAUCUUGGUGAGCCAUUAUCAGUUCUCGACAUGUAAUACAUUUUUGAGAAAGAGAAUAACACAUAUAAGUUAAGAAUAGAGUGAGAAGAAAUGAGAAAUGAUCCUCUUUUUGUCUAAAAUAUUUUUUAC